GACAGAGGGUGCAAACGUUGCUCGGAAUCACUGGGCGUAAAGGGCGUGUAGGCGGGAAGGAAAGUCAGAUGUGAAAUCCCCAGGCUCAACCUGGGAACUGCAUUUGAAACUCCCUUUCUUGAGUACCGGAGAGGAAAGUGGAAUUCCUGGUGUAGAGGUGAAAUUCGUAGAUAUCAGGAGGAACACCGGUGGCGAAGGCGGCUUUCUGGACGACAACUGACGCUGAGACGCGAAAGCGUGGGGAGCAAACAGG
Molecule: ribosomal RNA, 253 nt
Filed under: uncultured bacterium
Lineage: Bacteria
Description: partial 16S ribosomal RNA
Rfam family: Bacterial small subunit ribosomal RNA
Source: RNAcentral